CAGGCUUAACACAUGCAAGUCGAGGGGCAGCAUGGUCUUAGCUUGCUAAGGCCGAUGGCGACCGGCGCACGGGUGAGUAACACGUAUCCAACCUGCCGUCUACUCUUGGACAGCCUUCUGAAAGGAAGAUUAAUACAAGAUGGCAUCAUGAGUCCGCAUGUUCACAUGAUUAAAGGUAUUCCGGUAGACGAUGGGGAUGCGUUCCAUUAGAUAGUAGGCGGGGUAACGGCCCACCUAGUCUUCGAUGGAUAGGGGUUCUGAGAGGAAGGUCCCCCACAUUGGAACUGAGACACGGUCCAAACUCCUACGGGAGGCAGCAGUGAGGAAUAUUGGUCAAUGGGCGAGAGCCUGAACCAGCCAAGUAGCGUGAAGGAUGACUGCCCUAUGGGUUGUAAACUUCUUUUAUAAAGGAAUAAAGUCGGGUAUGGAUACCCGUUUGCAUGUACUUUAUGAAUAAGGAUCGGCUAACUCCGUGCCAGCAGCCGCGGUAAUACGGAGGAUCCGAGCGUUAUCCGGAUUUAUUGGGUUUAAAGGGAGCGUAGAUGGAUGUUUAAGUCAGUUGUGAAAGUUUGCGGCUCAACCGUAAAAUUGCAGUUGAUACUGGAUAUCUUGAGUGCAGUUGAGGCAGGCGGAAUUCGUGGUGUAGCGGUGAAAUGCUUAGAUAUCACGAAGAACUCCGAUUGCGAAGGCAGCCUGCUAAGCUGCAACUGACAUUGAGGCUCGAAAGUGUGGGUAUCAAACAGGAUUAGAUACCCUGGUAGUCCACACGGUAAACGAUGAAUACUCGCUGUUUGCGAUAUACUGCAAGCGGCCAAGCGAAAGCGUUAAGUAUUCCACCUGGGGAGUACGCCGGCAACGGUGAAACUCAAAGGAAUUGACGGGGGCCCGCACAAGCGGAGGAACAUGUGGUUUAAUUCGAUGAUACGCGAGGAACCUUACCCGAGCUUAAAUUGCAGAUGAAUUACGGUGAAAGCCGUAAGCCGCAAGGCAUCUGUGAAGGUGCUGCAUGGUUGUCGUCAGCUCGUGCCGUGAGGUGUCGGCUUAAGUGUCAUAACGAGCGCAACCCUUGUUGUCAGUUACUAACAGGUUCCGCUGAGGACUCUGACAAGACUGCCAUCGUAAGAUGUGAGGAAGGUGGGGAUGACGUCAAAUCAGCACGGCCCUUACGUCCGGGGCUACACACGUGUUACAAUGGGGGGUACAGAGGGCCGCUACCACGCGAGUGGAUGCCAAUCCCCAAAACCUCUCUCAGUUCGGACUGGAGUCUGCAACCCGACUCCACGAAGCUGGAUUCGCUAGUAAUCGCGCAUCAGCCACGGCGCGGUGAAUACGUUCCCGGGCCUUGUACACACCGCCCGUCAAGCCAUGGGAGCCGGGGGUACCUGAAGUGCGUAACCGCGAGGAGCGCCCUAGGGUAAAACUGGUGACUGGGGCUAA
RNAcentral lists this ribosomal RNA (1437 nucleotides) under uncultured organism. Its description in RNAcentral is "16S ribosomal RNA". It matches the Rfam family "Bacterial small subunit ribosomal RNA". The record is from RNAcentral.